GUGGGAUAGAUGAUUAGGGUGAAGUCGUAACAAGGUAGCCGUAGGAGAACCUGCGGCUGGAUCACCUCCUUUCUAAGGAA
RNAcentral lists this ribosomal RNA (80 nucleotides) under Weissella confusa. RNAcentral's name for it is "partial 16S ribosomal RNA". It matches the Rfam family "Bacterial small subunit ribosomal RNA", at positions 1462 to 1533 of the family's 1533-position model. Lineage: Bacteria; Bacillati; Bacillota; Bacilli; Lactobacillales; Lactobacillaceae. The record is from RNAcentral.